AACCGAGAACUCCUACGGGAGGCAGCAGUAGGGAAUCUUCCACAAUGGACGAAAGUCUGAUGGAGCAACGCCGCGUGAGUGAAGAAGGUUCUCGGAUCGUAAAACUCUGUUGUGAGGGAAGAACAAGUACCGGAGUAACUGCCGGUACCUUGACGGUACCUCAUUAGAAAGCCACGGCUAACUACGUGCCAGCAGCCGCGGUAAUACGUAGGUGGCAAGCGUUGUCCGGAAUCAUUGGGCGUAAAGCGCGCGCAGGCGGUCCCUUAAGUCUGAUGUGAAAGCCCACGGCUCAACCGUGGAGGGUCAUUGGAAACUGGGGGACUUGAGUGCAGAAGAGGAAAGCGGAAUUCCAAGUGUAGCGGUGAAAUGCGUAGAGAUUUGGAGGAACACCAGUGGCGAAGGCGGCUUUCUGGUCUGUAACUGACGCUGAGGCGCGAAAGCGUGGGGAGCAAACAGGAUUAGAAACCCUGGUAGUCCGACUGAGA
RNAcentral lists this ribosomal RNA (485 nucleotides) under uncultured bacterium. RNAcentral describes it as "bacterial SSU rRNA". It matches the Rfam family "Bacterial small subunit ribosomal RNA", at positions 327 to 805 of the family's 1533-position model. The record is from RNAcentral.